AGCGAACGCUGGCGGCGUGCCUAACACAUGCAAGUCGAGCGAGAAAGGGGACUUCGGUCCCUAAGUACAGCGGCGAAAGGGUGCGUAACACGUGGGCAAUCUAUCCUUGAGAUGGGGAUAACCCAGCGAAAGUUGGGCUAAUACCCGAUAAGACCACAGAAAGCAAUUUCCGAGGUCAAAGGGUGCUUCUUUUGGAGCAUCCGGUUUGAGGAGGAGCCCGCGACCUAUCAGCUUGNGGUAGGUAACGGCCUACCAAGGCAAAGACGGUAGCUGGUCUGAGAGGAUGACCAGCCACACGGGGACUGAGACACGG
This 313-nucleotide ribosomal RNA is filed under the name uncultured bacterium. Its description in RNAcentral is "bacterial SSU rRNA". It matches the Rfam family "Bacterial small subunit ribosomal RNA", at positions 29 to 329 of the family's 1533-position model. The record is from RNAcentral.